Molecule: microRNA precursor, 127 nt
Filed under: Chinchilla lanigera (long-tailed chinchilla)
Lineage: Eukaryota; Metazoa; Chordata; Mammalia; Rodentia; Chinchillidae
Description: microRNA 497 (ENSCLAG00000021179.1)
Rfam family: mir-497 microRNA precursor family (bases 15-99)
Source: RNAcentral
UCUGCGGUGCCUCCCCCACCCUCGCUCUAACACCACAGUGUGGUUUGGACGUGGCCACAGUGCCGUACAAACCACAGUGUGCUGCUGGGGCGGGGGCAGGACUGGGGUGGGCUGAGAAGAGAGCACA